GUAAAAGCGGUAGGCGGACUACACAGUGUUCAGAAAAACCGUUUGUAUUCAGAAUGUAAUUGGGUGCGCGAUGGUGCUCACGCAAAAUCCACAUAACACAGAUCUGCGUAAAAAAAUUACACAGAUUGUAGAACAUGUUCUAGCUGUCAAAACGGUUGAGUUUUAUAACACAGAUCUGUGUAAAAAAUUACACAGAUUUUCGAUCAGCUUUCGUUUCAAAUUUGGGUAAAAACCAAAAAACUUAAGAUGGCGACUUUCAUGCAGUUCCGAGAAACUUGAUUUUUUAUCAUUUUGGCCAUCAGUUCCAAUAAGAAUCAGUCCUAGAUUGGAUUUUCAACUUUUCAGAUUGGUAGCUUGUCCUACUUCGUGUGCUGCAUAAGCGCCAGGCUUGCCCGCUGCGAAACUAUCCACAAGAUUGAAGAUUGUUUACGAAACCUUUUUAACAGAAGAUAACUACAGAUUGUCAAGGGAAACAUAUUGGCCAAUGUUUGACAGAUCCAAACGUGCUGGACACCAACCGCCCUUUACGCCCAGCAAAACUGGCAUUGUUGCAAGCGCAAAACAUACGUGCCUAUUUAUUUUUCAUCGACCAAUCUUUUUCCCAUGACAAUCAGUAUACUUAUAAAGAUAACCGGAAGAAUUUCUAAAACAAGGUCCAGUUCGAUGGUUUGGCCGUGGAUAAUGUAGAGUCCAAGGUACCGCCUCUUAAUCACCCAAAUCGACGGUAACAUUUCAAAAGGCAUCAUGUACAUUUUGACACUUUCUGCACUCAAAGUAAAAAGUAUCCUUUUUUCAAGUUCACCCGUCGUCACCCUUUAAAAGGGUAUCGAAAAUGUACUGAAUUUAACAUACCCUUUUGAAAGGGUGACGCCGGGUGAACUUUAAAAAAGGAUAGAAAGUAUCCUUUUUGAGGAUUGAAAGUACCCUUUUGAGGGAUACUUCUGACUUUGAGAGUGGGUUAUUACAUAUUCUAAAAGUACUCCUAAUGAGCUUCCUCUCCACCAAAAAUGAGCAAAAGUUACUUCAGUAAAGUCUGUUUAAUUAUGAUUUUAAAUAAAGUAACAUAAACAAAAUCUCUCCCAUCAGCAGUUCCUGUUUAUAUAGCCCUGUCAACCUGUCAAACAAAAAACUACAUAAACCUCGUGACGAAAAAAAAAGCAUCAUGAACAAAGCGCCAUGUACAUUCGGCGAAGAAAAACGAAUCGUAACAAAGCGCUCCCUUCAAUGCCAGCAGGGUGAAUUAGACGUUGGUGAUUUCAAAAGGAGUUAUGUUUGUUUUUCUUAAAUAAAACGACGGAAAUAAUGUUUUAUUGAAUUUGGAUGAUCAAGUAUCAAUGAAAGCAAAGUUUUUCAUCGUUUGUUAUUAUUAGAACAUCUUAUUUUGCUCGAUUUUGCUUUUAUAUUAAAACGGGAAUUGAAAAUGGAUGCUCAACAUUCAAAUGCGUUUUUCUCAAAACGAAUGGUUUGUACAUGAUGCUUUUUGAAAUGUUGGCGUCGUUUUUGCCUUCCUCCCCACUGAGAAUUUUGGCCCGAGCCUCGAGUCGAUCUGGCUCGAGAUCGAGCCUGAAUCGAGUGGGUCACCUCAAUAGACAAAUCCAGCGAAAGCUCAACGCUGCUUUUUGAUGGUGAGAGAUUUGACAGCUCCCAUAAGGCUUUCUAGUCAGAAAUUUACCAACACAUUCAAAGUAUGUUUACAUGACAGCUGGACUUUUGUUUGCAUCAGGUUUCCUAUCUCUUUCUAGCAAAUUUUUUGUUGUCAAGCGACUUCUAGCUGGUUUAUUUAACUGACUGCCCGAUAUGUCAGCCAACAUACUUCGCAGGUCUGUGACAGCUACAGCUCGAUCAUUGUUUGCAUCAGGACACUGUGACGAGGAGUUCGUCAUUUUCGAGUUAAAUUAUAUUUUUUUCACUGGGCCUAGAAAGCCUUAUACUAAAUGUCUCGAUUUUCAUAUUUUUUGUUAAUUAUCUUUUAAAAUAAAAUACUUAACAUAUGAAAACUAUAUAUUUUUGGUGCCCAAAAUUCCUGCUGAAUCGAAUGGUGUACUUAUCUCGCUUGCAAAUUUUUUGAGCAGUUUUCAUUUUAAUAAUAUUCUAGACACAUUUUGUGCACCUAAUCAAUCAAUACUUUUAUCAUAAAUAAUCAUUUUAUUGCUUAAAAUUGAGUUUUCCUGAGCUCCCAUAUUCAAAUACAUGGAAGCUGUCAUUUCUAACACCAUUGGCCACCUAGCGGCCAUUUCAAACUGGAUUCAUCUAUGAGGAAA
Culex pipiens pallens (northern house mosquito) is the source of this 2261-nucleotide long non-coding RNA. RefSeq lists it as uncharacterized. The record is from RefSeq and is a predicted model, not a curated record. Lineage: Eukaryota; Metazoa; Arthropoda; Insecta; Diptera; Culicidae. The transcript is spliced from 3 exons.